GUGCUGGUGAACUCCGGUUUCCCCAAAGCAGCUCCACCCAGGUACUUCAGAUAGUGAUGCUGGAAGUUGGCAGCAAGGACAAGCCAGAGAGCUCAGAAAGAGGGAGUCAGCGUCCCAGGUCCUUAUCUGGGCUCUGCUACUGUCAAGCUGGAACAAGCAGUCUCCGUUUACUCAGAGAUCAAGGUCAAACCAAGCAAACGUCAUUCUGGAUGGAGCGGGUGGCCGAUGCUGUCAUUGCUCAGCCCCUACCCCCCUGGCAUGUCACUAUCGUGGUCCUUUACUCUCAACAGCCAGCGUCUGCCCCUGUUUGUCGGAGGACAGGCCUCAGGCAGCAGGAACUCUCACUGCCCAGAGAGCCUGGGGGGCCAGAAGCACCUGGGAGGCUAAGUCCCCACCCUGACUGGCAGGAGUGAGGCAUGGACACUUCAGCUCCCCUGCCCCAAUCAGAAAACCCAGAGGAUGGGCCAUAGUGGACAGAAUCCAGCAAGUACACGUCUCUUGCUGGCUUUGAAGAAGCAAGCUGUGAUGUCCUGAGCUCCCCUUGGCAAGGCCCACGUGGAAGACCUGAACGUAGCUCAGCCUGUAGCCUGCAAGGAAUGGAGUCCUGCCAACAUAUACGUAAGCUUGGAAGUGGGUCCUUCCCCAUCAGGCCUUUGGAUGAGACCUCAGCCCUGGCUGACACCUUGACUGC
This is a long non-coding RNA of Choloepus didactylus (southern two-toed sloth), 691 nucleotides long. RefSeq lists it as uncharacterized. Lineage: Eukaryota; Metazoa; Chordata; Mammalia; Pilosa; Megalonychidae. The transcript is spliced from 3 exons. The record is from RefSeq and is a predicted model, not a curated record.